AGGAGCUUGGUGUAGUGGCUAGCACGUUGGGCUCAUGACCCAAAGACGCCGGUUCGAGUCCGGUAGCUCCUC
Molecule: transfer RNA, 72 nt
Organism: Verruconis gallopava
Lineage: Eukaryota; Fungi; Ascomycota; Dothideomycetes; Venturiales; Sympoventuriaceae
Rfam family: tRNA
About the family: Transfer RNA (tRNA) molecules are approximately 80 nucleotides in length.
Source: Rfam